This 253-nucleotide ribosomal RNA is filed under the name uncultured bacterium. RNAcentral describes it as "partial 16S ribosomal RNA". It matches the Rfam family "Bacterial small subunit ribosomal RNA", at positions 524 to 776 of the family's 1533-position model. The record is from RNAcentral.
UACAGAGGUCUCAAGCGUUGUUCGGAUUCAUUGGGCGUAAAGGGUGCGUAGGCGGCGCGGUAAGUCGGGUGUGAAAUCUCGGAGCUUAACUCCGAAACUGCAUUCGAUACUGUUUUGCUUGAGGACUGGAGAGGAGAUUGGAAUUCACGGUGUAGCAGUGAAAUGCGUAGAUAUCGUGAGGAAGACCAGUGGCGAAGGCGGAUCUCUGGACAGUUCCUGACGCUGAGGCGCGAAGGCCAGGGGAGCAAAUGGG